This is a non-coding RNA of Sphenostylis stenocarpa, 78 nucleotides long. The record is from the annotation of a GenBank genome assembly. NCBI's taxonomy places the organism in Eukaryota, Viridiplantae, Streptophyta, Magnoliopsida, Fabales, Fabaceae.
GGUCAUCUUAACUCAGUGGUAGAGUGCAUGACUUUUAACCAUGUGAUUGUGGGUUCAAUCCACAUAAUUAAGUGAUUA